RNAcentral lists this transfer RNA (77 nucleotides) under Hippocampus jayakari. RNAcentral describes it as "tRNA-Lys". The record is from RNAcentral. Lineage: Eukaryota; Metazoa; Chordata; Actinopteri; Syngnathiformes; Syngnathidae.
CGCUAAGAAGCUAAAUAGGGACCUCAGCGUUAGCCUUUUAAGCUAAAAAUUGGUGACUCCCAACCACCCCUAGCGAC